This 466-nucleotide ribosomal RNA is filed under the name Vreelandella stevensii. RNAcentral describes it as "partial 16S ribosomal RNA". It matches the Rfam family "Bacterial small subunit ribosomal RNA", at positions 338 to 795 of the family's 1533-position model. Lineage: Bacteria; Pseudomonadati; Pseudomonadota; Gammaproteobacteria; Oceanospirillales; Halomonadaceae. The record is from RNAcentral.
CCUACGGGAGGCAGCAGUGGGGAAUAUUGGACAAUGGGCGAAAGCCUGAUCCAGCCAUGCCGCGUGUGUGAAGAAGGCCUUCGGGUUGUAAAGCACUUUCAGUGGGGAAGAAAGCCUUGGGGCUAAUACCCUCGAGGAAGGACAUCACCCACAGAAGAAGCACCGGCUGAACUCCGUGCCAGCAGCCGCGGUAAUACGGAGGGUGCGAGCGUUAAUCGGAAUUACUGGGCGUAAAGCGCGCGUAGGCGGUCUGAUAAGCCGGUUGUGAAAGCCCCGGGCUCAACCUGGGAACGGCAUCCGGAAAUGUCAGGCUAGAGUGCAGGAGAGGAAGGUAGAAUUCCCGGUGUAGCGGUGAAAUGCGUAGAGAUCGGGAGGAAUACCAGUGGCGAAGGCGGCCUUCUGGACUGACACUGACGCUGAGGUGCGAAAGCGUGGGUAGCAAACAGGAUUAGAUACCCGGGUAGUC